AGUGAACGCUGGCGGUAGGCCUAACACAUGCAAGUCGAACGGCAGCACAGUAGGAGCUUGCUCUUACGGGUGGCGAGUGGCGGACGGGUGAGGAAUACAUCGGAAUCUACUUUUUCGUGGGGGAUAACGUAGGGAAACUUACGCUAAUACCGCAUACGACCUACGGGUGAAAGCAGGGGAUCUUCGGACCUUUCGCGAUUGAAUGAGCCGAUGUCGGAUUAGCUAGUUGGCGGGGUAAAGGCCCACCAAGGCGACGAUCCGUAGCUGGUCUGAGAGGAUGAUCAGCCACACUGGAACUGAGACACGGUCCAGACUCCUACGGGAGGCAGCAGUGGGGAAUAUUGGACAAUGGGCGCAAGCCUGAUCCAGCCAUACCGCGUGGGUGAAGAAGGCCUUCGGGUUGUAAAGCCCUUUUGUUGGGAAAGAAAAGCAGCAGGUUAAUACCCCGCUGUUCUGACGGUACCCAAAGAAUAAGCACCGGCUAACUUCGUG
RNAcentral lists this ribosomal RNA (492 nucleotides) under uncultured bacterium. Its description in RNAcentral is "partial 16S ribosomal RNA". It matches the Rfam family "Bacterial small subunit ribosomal RNA", at positions 29 to 507 of the family's 1533-position model. The record is from RNAcentral.